Molecule: long non-coding RNA, 989 nt
Organism: Lepidothrix coronata (blue-crowned manakin)
Lineage: Eukaryota; Metazoa; Chordata; Aves; Passeriformes; Pipridae
Exons: 8
Source: RefSeq, a predicted model, not a curated record
CCCCCUCCCAUUUCCUCCCCUUUCCCCCUUUCCUCCCUCUCCCCUCCCCUCCCCUCCCCUGAGUGGCCCCAGAGUCCCCCCAGGACGGUGUUUUUGGGGCUCUCAGCCUUCCCCAGCCCGCUCGGCUCCUCCUGUGGAACUUUAGGAUGCUUUUGCCUUUCCCAGGUGUAAGAGUCUCCAUGACCUCUCAGAAAGUGUGCUCCUGCCCCUGCGACCCGGCCUGGAAAAGCUCCAUCACCUCCUGCCCCUCGUCCCAGAGCCUCAGAGACGUCAGGGACCCCGGUGCCUCAGCGAUAAAAGGCCACGAAAAUAGGAAGUGCACAGAACAACACCAUUUUUCACAUGAAUAAAUGGAAAUAAUCUUUGCAGCCAUGGAUGCUUCUUAAUAUUACUUGAAAGUAAAGUCUCACACAAGGCUUCUAGUCUAUAAAGAAGCAAUUCUGCACCACGUCUCUUGGCAGUCCUCGGUGGCACAGACACACCCACAGCUCAGGUCACAACACGGGAAGAGGAGGAGGAGGAGGAGGAAGAGAGAGAAAGACAGAACUAAAAACCCUUGAAGGAUGGCUCUCCAAAAUUCCUGGCGGAACCACGGGGAAUCCCUGGGAGCGCGGGAGCAGAGCUACUUUCUGGAUUUAUCCUGAACAAGAAGUGGAAUUACUGAAUUAAUGCCCAGGAAGGGAGUGUCCUGUGUUACCUGCUGCAGUCCAGAAGUCCUUCGUAAAUGGCUUUGAUCUGGAGAGUUUAUACUGACUUUUUCCAGUCCGAAUAGGAACCGUCUCCUCUGCUCCACUCGCUGGCGCCAGAUCCUGUGAUCUCUACAUUUCCACGCUGAGGCCCAUGCAGUAAAGUAACUGUGCAUCAAAUGGAAAAGGAGCCCAGCUGAGCCAGCCCCACUGCUCUGGGUAAGGACACAUUAAAGGAGCUCUUAGAGAACGACUUAGAAGAAACUUUGCAAAAUGGAAAGGUUAUACUUUAUGACCCUGCUG